UGGGGAAUAUUGGACAAUGGGCGCAAGCCUGAUCCAGCCAUACCGCGUGGGUGAAGAAGGCCUUCGGGUUGUAAAGCCCUUUUGUUGGGAAAGAAAUCCAGCCGGCUAAUACCUGGUUGGGAUGACGGUACCCAAAGAAUAAGCACCGGCUAACUUCGUGCCAGCAGCCGCGGUAAUACGAAGGGUGCAAGCGUUACUCGGAAUUACUGGGCGUAAAGCGUGCGUAGGUGGUUGUUUAAGUCUGUUGUGAAAGCCCUGGGCUCAACCUGGGAACUGCAGUGGAAACUGGACAACUAGAGUGUGGUAGAGGGUAGCGGAAUUCCCGGUGUAGCAGUGAAAUGCGUAGAGAUCGGGAGGAACAUCCAUGGCGAAGGCAGCUACCUGGACCAACACUGACACUGAGGCACGAAAGCGUGGGGAGCAAACAGGAUUAGAUACCCUGGUAGUCCACGCCCUAAACGAUGCGAACUGGAUGUUGGGUGCAAUUUGGCACGCAGUAUCGAAGCUAACGCGUUAAGUUCGCCGCCUGGGGAGUACGGUCGCAAGACUG
RNAcentral lists this ribosomal RNA (550 nucleotides) under soil bacterium PD-P1-32. Its description in RNAcentral is "bacterial SSU rRNA". It matches the Rfam family "Bacterial small subunit ribosomal RNA", at positions 355 to 896 of the family's 1533-position model. The record is from RNAcentral. RNAcentral also lists the same sequence under 2 other names.